RNAcentral lists this long non-coding RNA (399 nucleotides) under Cricetulus griseus (Chinese hamster). Its description in RNAcentral is "lncRNA (ENSCGRG00000026008.1)". Lineage: Eukaryota; Metazoa; Chordata; Mammalia; Rodentia; Cricetidae. The record is from RNAcentral.
ACAGUGUUAGUGGAGGAAUGAGAAGGAAGAGAGCUACUGCAUGGAAACUGUUGAAUGUUUACCACUGGGGAGAUUUAAGUGAGUACCAGAUAUCAAUGUGAUUUGUUUUCUAAACUCUAGAGGGAAACUGAGUCCCUGGAAAGGCCCAGCAGAGAUGGAUCCAAACAAGCUUUCAAUGGAAGAGGGCAGGCAGUUCCUUAAACAGUGUGGGAUCCCACAAAGAUAUAUCGAUGCAAUGACCGAGAAAUGGGUAGUUGUUGCCUCUGUGGAGGUUUUAAUUCGAUUCCCUCUGCUGCCAGGGGAGGACCCCACAGCUCAUUGUAUUUCCAAUAAAAAGAGUCAGCCUGCAGUGUCCCAACCAAAUCUAAUCCCUCAAAAUAAUGAAAAUCAAGAAAAGAG